Long non-coding RNA from Salvelinus fontinalis (brook trout), 900 nucleotides. RefSeq lists it as uncharacterized. The record is from RefSeq and is a predicted model, not a curated record. The transcript has 2 exons. NCBI's taxonomy places the organism in Eukaryota, Metazoa, Chordata, Actinopteri, Salmoniformes, Salmonidae.
CUCACUCAGCCACUAUGUGAGAAGAACACGCACACAGGCCUAUCAGUUCACUGACAGUCAGUUCAAUACCCACACACUGCAACAUGAUACAGGAGCUGUCUCGCACUUCAGCUACUGAUGCAUUCAAAACCUGAGCCCUAGGACCAUACGUCACGGGAAACCGGGCAUGAUGACUCCUUGCUGUUCCCAGUCCACCUGGCCUUGCUGCUGUUCCAGUUUCAACUGCUCUGCCUGCGGUUAUGGAACCCCUACCUGUCCCAGACCUGCUGUUUUCAACUCUUAAUGAUCGGCUAUGAAAAGCCAACUGACAUUUAUUCCUGAUUAUUAUCUGACCAUGCUUGUCAUUUAUGAACAUUUUGAAAAUCUUGGCUCUCUCUAAUUUUCUCCUUCUCUCUUUCUUUCUCUCUCUCGGAGGACCUGAGCCCUAGAACCAUACGUCAGGGCUGCCGGGCAUGAUGGCUCCUUGCUGUCCCCAGUCCACCUGGCCUUGCUGCUAUUCCAGUUUCAACUGUUCUGCCUGCGGUUAUGGAACCGCCACCUGUCCCAGACCUGCUGUUUUCAACUCUUAAUGAUCGGCUAUGAAAAGCCAACUGAAAAUUAUUCAUGAUUAUUAUUUGACCAUGCUUGUCACUUCUGAACAUUUUGAACAUCUUGGCAUAGUUCUGUUAUAAUCUCCACCCGGCACAGCCAGAAGAGGACUGGCCACCCCUCAUAGCCUGGUUCCUCUCUAGGUUUCUUCCUAGGUUUUGGCCUUUCUAGGGAGUUUUUCCUAGCCACCGUGCUUCUACACCUGCAGUGCUUGCUGUUUGGGGUUUUAGGCUGGGUUUCUGUACAGCACUUCGAGAUAUUAGCUGAUGUACGAAGGGCUAUAUAAAAUAAACUUGAUUGAUUGAUGGUUCA